UAUAUAUAGGACUAAGAUGUUUUAGUAGUAUCUAAACUAAUAGUGGGUUCUUACGUUGGAUUUUCAUGUAAUGCAGUGCAACCUUAGUGAAAGUCAACAGAAUGGGUUCUGUGGUCAUUAAUUCAUAUUAAGCACAUUCACAUUAAUCACAUGGUCCAGGAUCGUAAUCUAUAGUAGUCACCUAUCCAGAGCAUGCUGUAUUUUCCAAUUACCCAGGAAGUUUACAUGUUUAUAUCAUAAACAGGAAUGCAUGACUGCAUUUCUCUUUAAAAUGCCAAAUCAAAGAAUGCAUCACAAUUGUCCUUCAGACUUGGUAACAGGCCAAAGGCCUCUAAGAGAGAGAACUGGGCUUUGAGAGCUCUUAAGCCCUAAGCUACUUAGCACUUAUGCCACAGCUCCUGAAUCCCUCUUACUUUGUUCUUAUUGUGUUUCCUUAAUGUCCAGUACAGUCUUCAGGGAAUCUGCCUUGUUUCCAUUCACACACAGUAGAGAGAAUAAAUAGGCCAUGGGAGUGCUGGAAAUUAAACAGGAAGAUGCUGUGGAAGUGGUGGAUUGGACGACUGACAACAGUGGCUGAAUGACCUCUAAAGGCACUGAAAGACACAGGAUAGAGACGAACUCUAAUCCAGAUGCUGGACACAACUUCUAGCUUUGGGUGGAACAGUUGCCUAAAACCAACAAAAGAGUUUUUAAGGCAAAUGAUUGGUAUAUUUUUUGUUGAGGAGAUGUUAAGCAUGCCCCUAUAUGUUGUAAUACAUAAAUAUUAUUACUUUUAAAAGACAUUUGGGUUCUGAAAAUGUUUAUAAUGUUCCUAAAAACAUGCAGUGAAGCAAAGCAAUUAAUAGCUGAGAAAAUCUCCAAUAUAUAAGAAUUCUUCAUUCAUUUAUUUGUCUAUGGUUUCAAAACAGAGCCAAUCACUGGUUUAAUCAGUUAAUGACAUUAAAAGAAUUUGAAUCCUAUGACCAAUCAAAACAAAAAUUGUCCAAAUGCAUGUUCUAUGAAGGACUUUGGCCUCAAAUCACAAUAAAUUCUUUAAUCUAAUAAGCAAAUUCCACAAGAAAAAAUAUGACUGCCUCCUAAAUUCUUAAUUUGACUUGCCUUUUUUAAAAGUUCCCUUUUCUUAAUUCAUAGCAUCAUAGAUUCACAGAAUAUUUCUUGUUUGAAGGGACCAUGUGACUAAGAGCAUCCUCCAGAUGCUCCUUGAACUCUUACAAUAUUUGUGAGACCUCCCCUUCUUUGGGGAGCCCAUUCCUUGUGGAGCCAGUGACUGACCAUCUCUCAGUGACGAACUUUUUUCUAAUAUUUAGUCUGAAUUUCUAUUGACAGAAUUUAAUUUUAUUUCCCUGUGUCCUAUCACUGGUCUCCAGAGGCAGGAGAGAAAGACUGCCUCCACCUCCACUGCUGCCCACCUUGAGGAAGUUGUAGACUUCCUUGAGAUCACCCCUCAGCCUUCCCUUCUCCAAGAUAAACAAACUACCCUCAGCCACCCCUUGAAAGUCUUCUGGACGCACUCAAAUAUUUUUUUGUUUUCUUAUAUUGAGGCACCCAAAACUGCACACAGUAAUUGAGAUGCUGCCACAUCAGUGCAGAGCAGAAGAGAACAUUCCCUUCCCUUUCCUGGCUGGUGAUGCUGUGCCUGAUGCACCCCAGGACACAGCUGGCUGUCCUGGCCACCAAGGCACAGAUGACUCAGAUUAAAUUUAUCACCACCCCAGACCCAUAGAUCAGUUUCUGCAGGGCUGCUCUCCAGCCUUUUAUUCCCCAGUGUAUAUGACCUGGAUUAUCCUGUCCCAUGGUGCCUGUUCAUGCUAAAUUUCAUAUUGUUGAUGAUAUACAGAGCUCUGCUCUCAAUGGUGUCCACAGCUUCUUCUAUUUAGUAUCAUUGGCAAACUCACUCAAGUUAUUUCAACCAGAAAAAAAAUUUCACACACAAGUGACAAAUUUAGUGAGAAGUCAAGAAAUACUAAUGAAUUCUGCUUAAAUAUGUAUGAUACCUAUUAUUAUUAUUAAUUAUGUUGAUUAUUCCUAUGACUAGGAAAUAAGAAGAAACUCCAGGUUUGCCUGACCAGACAUGGAGUACUGGUACCUUGAGGAACAUGCAGCAUAAACAUGCAGGUGAAGUGUUCUAGAAUACAGACAAUCAAGUCAACUGAACUGUGCUAUCAGGAAAUGUCUCCCAGGCCUUUAGUGAGGUAGGAUCCCAGGCAGGGGGCAAAUAGGUUAAUUUACCAGAAAGGAAUGAAAGUUCCCUGUCAGCAGAAUAGGGAGAAAGGGAAGUAAACAGAUAAAGUGAGAAAGAGAGACACAAAGUAUGCUCUAGGCUUUUCCUUUCGAUAGGUCAGACAUUUCUCUUUGAUGGAUAUUAUGCAGAUCAUAAUUAAUGCAUGACACAAUUGAAGCUGUCUUGCUGACUUAAGUUUAGUAUUUAGAGUUAUUCACUGCAUAAAAACACAGAAAAAGUACUACUAAACUGCUCCUGCAAUUAAUUAGCCCACUUACCAUUCAGCCAUGAUGACAUACUUCCUAUCAAAAGAGAGUAAAACACCCUCGAACAGUCAGAAAGUGAUUAGCUGUUACUUUUAGGUGGUAUCCCAUACCAUCAUGUAUUUUGGCAUUUUUGUGAGAAAUGCACUUAAAACCCUCCACUCACAAGUACCGCUUUUACCACAUAAGAAUAUGCGUAUUUUUACAUUUAAAACUUAUAUUUGCUUCUUCCUAAUUUGUGGCACAGUCCAUUACUUUUGCAAUAAUAUGUCUUCUGUAUUCUGUGGAUCUAUUUGGACUGAAGUCUUGCUAUCACUUCUCUCUCUCUAUCUUUUUUUUCCUAAUGACACUAAUAUCUAUAUCAUAUAAUUGUCUUUAAUAUUCAACUAUGUACUAUGGUACUAUAUACUUUCAAUUAAAAUAUGAAAUUAAAAGCUUUUUCUACCAGUCUAAAGUCAUGGUACCUCUCCACAAGUGGAAUUGUGAGACAAUAAUGCAUAUAGACCAGGCACAGACUGAAAUAGUGGGAAGAGGAGUGACAGUUGUCAAUAUACUCAUCAAUACUACCAGAUAAGAAGGAAUCAAAAUGCAGUCACAGAGGAAGAUUUACUUCAAGGUAGACAAAUUCCUAUUUCUUUUGCAUGCCAUAAUGAAAACAGAACUGUAGGGGUCAUAUCAGGGACUUCAUUCUAAAAAUAAACCACUUUAAUUAUGGAAUAUUCACAAGUAUCUUAACAUAAGCUUCACCCAUCUGCAAUCAGAUUUAACCUCUUCUAAAAAUGGGUUGUCAAAAUAUAUAGCUAAUAAAUAUGUUUUAUAUAUAUUAUAAUCUAUUUAAUAUAUUAUAUUUUUACCAUGACCAUUUAUUAGGUGGAGGGAGAAAUUUUCCUCUGAAGAGCUAAUUACAGAUACAAAAGAAAGACACUUAAAUUUUUUUUCAUGGAUUUUCUCAGAAAAGUAUCUUAUAAUGUAAGAGGCAUCAGACUGGAAAUAAGUUUUUUACUGGUUACCUAAUGCCUUUCCCGGGAUGCCAUCCUUCUCAUGCUUGUGGCAGUGGUUAUAUUUCACUCCUUGUUGCUUUUUGGUGCUAACAGUGAAUAAAUGGAAAUGCUUUUUUCCCUGGUAAUUCCCCUAAAAGUGCUCACAACCUUUGCUUAUCUAGCAUGUAUAGGCAAGUUGACACUUCCCAGCAUAAAGAGCAUAGAAAUGCUGGCAGCUAUAAAGCUCUGGCACCAACAUCCAAGCCGAUUCUCACAAAUGGACACACAAGCGCUUAGGUCUCUGUUAGGGAUUCUAAAUCCCAGAAAGUAUGCCAAACAGCUGCUCUGCUAUUGUCCCAACUUUGCCUUCACUGGGCAAUAAAAUGAAUAUUAUUUGCCUUUUUUAAUCAUUAUUUAUUUUGCUUUGCAAUUGAUACAAACAUUUAAAAUAGCUGGUCAGAAAGUACUUCAUGUUCCAGCUGCCAAAUGACCACAUGAGUACAUCUGUGGCACCUUGCAGAUUAAGGCACCAGGCAAAAUAAAGAUACAUAUGGUGCACAGGAGCAGGGCCUGGAUUGUACGGGACAGUCAAUUGAAUGAAGAUUGCAAAUCUGGCCUUGGGAUAGCAUUCAAAAUGUAUGAAAAUAUCCAAUCAAACUCAGUGAAAGCUCCGCAGCUGAUGAUGACUCAAUGUGUUCUAAGCACUGGCAUCAGAAAAAAAACCAAAACUUGUGGAAGUUAUUAUUCUUUCUGUCUCUUCCUGCUGGCUCUGGGAAGCACAUUACAAGUUAUGCUUACUUCACAUGUUUACGAUUUUCAGAUCUCUCUCCCCUCUGUCAGGAAACAUACAUGCUGAGCCUGAGUGAAGGCCAGAUGGGAGCUGCCAAUGAUUACUCAGUGUUUCUUGCUGAGCACACUAAGGGCAUCGGACAAAAUCAUCAGGAACCAGCCCAGGAAAAAUGAAAGGUGCUUAAGUUUAGGUAGAGUGCAGCAAAGAAGAACCCAUUCUAGUGCCAAGACAACUUAAAAAGGUAAGAUGUGACCAAGGACUCAGAGGUUUUAAAACUGUUUGCUAUCAUCUUAAAAAAAUUCUCCAAUUUUGCUUGUAAAAAGAAAAGUAAAGGAAUUGUGUCCAUGUUUUACCACUGAAAACUGUCAGAUAUACGUCAAUAGAAAAAAGCAGAAUUUUCUUAGGCCUCUAAUAUUUUAAUAGGAUAAAGCAGAGGAUGAUCAUAUUUACACCAAUAAAUAUGGUAUUUUACUAAUUUUUAGUUAUUUUUUAGUAAUUUUUCUCCUUAAUGCUUUUCAGUUGAAAGCAUCUAUUCUGCUCAUAGACUUAUCUGAAUGUUCAGGUAUGAAUUGAUACAAAUAAGAACAAAGUUAUAUUUACUGUUAUUCUCAUUCCUGUGAAGUCCUUUUAAAAGACUGAACCUUCUGGGAAGCAUGUUGAGACAUUUCUUUUCUUCAUAACUGAACAAUUUCCUUGAGCGUUUUCUCCUCAAAUAUCUGAGCAUCAGGUUGCCUCGCAGCCCUUGUUCUGAAAACCAUGAGGUACGGCAUGGAAAUCUCCACUAUUAAUAGGUGAGAAGGCUGCACCCCUUUCCCUGACUUUAGGUGCUGUGGUAUUGUAUUGCUCAUUAAUCAAUAAUUAGCCAUAUUGUUAUAGAUGACUUUAUGAAAGCAUGAAAGCAGUUUUGGCAAAGCAGUACAAUUUGUUCCACACAUGGCAGUCUGCCUUAGCAACAAGGUCUGGAAUCACACUUCUCAUUUUGAAGUCACACUAGAUUUUUCAGGUAUUGGAACUGCACUUUGAAACCUCUUUGUGCUCUCAUUUAAGAUGUCUUUGGUGAUCUCUUGUGAAAUCCUGACUGCUGACAACAGGUACAUUCAAAUGGAAACUAAAUUUCAUCUGUUUCAGGAAUAAAUCCUAUACGUAUUCAAAAGAAAGCUUUCUCUGAGCCUAUCAAUAAGCAAGUCAUGUUGGAAAGAAUUCAGACAUCACUAAAUAAACAUGAUGACUUGCUCUGUGCUGAAAAUAUUGAUGUUGAAUAUUCAAUAUAUAAUGCCAUAAGGUAAAAAUAUGUUUGGUCUUAUUCAUACACAAGUAACCAGAUUCUCCCUCAGAAAGCAAAGUGAGCUACAUGGUUUUAUAGUGACACUUAGAUGUAACAGAUGUAUAUGUCUUUUGGAAACAUCUUGAAAUGCAGAGGAAUUGUGGGAAAGUGAGAAACAAGCCUUGCAUUGCUUCCUUCCAAUUCUAGGCUCAGAAGAUAUAGUAACAAAGAACAGUAGCAAAGAACAGUAGACAUUUAAAGCCGUACAAUCUUUCCCCUUGCCUCAGUUUUGUUUCAUGUGUGUUUCAAGUGUGUUUAAUGGUGGAGGAGGGCAUGGUUCUUCAUCAAGUUGAAAGAAAGAAUAGGAUCACCAAGAGUUCAUAGAAACUUCAAUUUCAUAAAGUCAUCUAAAAAAACCUUUCUUGCAUAAUAUGGGUUUUACUGAUAUUUCUGUUUCCUUCAUAUUCUAGGAGAGCAUUUUGUUUCUCACUGGCCUAUACACUGUUCUGAAAAGAAGAGAGAAGGCCAAAAGACCACCAGAAUAUUUUCUCUUUUAAAGAAAACCAGUUGUUCUGGAGUAUCAAACAUGUGCAGAAAACAAUAUGGAUCAUCAGUUUUUAUCUCAGAAAAAAAAAAGUGCAUGUGUGCUUGAAUGCAAUGAUAUUACAUAUUACUUCUAAUAGAAACAGAGAACAGCUGAUUAAUUUGUGAAUUAAACAUAAUAGUUUCAUUUUCCUUGGAUUUAUGUCUUAGAGAGAAUCAAAAAUUGAAAAAUAAAAAUUACCCUAAAUAAUAGGAUAUUAUUAAAUGUUUUGUUUAUAAAACAUUUGUUUAUAAAUAUUUUUGUUUAUAAAAUAUUUUGUUUAUAAAAUAUUUUGCCACUAAAAUAUGUGGGUUGCAGUUGUUUGACAGCUCUAAUGACUCAUGACCAUAUCCAGUGGACUACAGCCAUGCUAACCCAGUGCACCAUCUAUCCAGGAAGAACAGGAUACUUGAAAAAAACCACAUUCUUGAAUUUGACUGAAGGCAUCUGAGUUCCAACAGUGGAGAACUAGAUUGACCAUGACUCUACAGUAUUGUCAAAGCAUAAUUUUAAGCCAUAGUGGCCCACAUCUAGUGCUAAAAAGUGGUUAUGUGCAGAACUUUAUAUGUUUUAGAUAAAACCAACACUUUUUUUGACUUUACUUGACUUUGUUUCCUUUUACCACUGUGAGAAAUGUAGAGAUGAGAAAUGCAUGCUUACAAAACAACUAGCUCAUGUGGGAGAGGUAUGGAAAACACAAGGAAAGGCUUUCUGAGUUAAAUUGCUUAGAAAAAAAUUGGGCAUAAUGUCUCUUUUACAUGGCAUUUCCAUCACUGGGGCUUUUAGUUUUUUUGAUUUUUUUGGAAGAAGUUUGUUAAAUUAUUCCCUUACAGAUAUUUAACUAGGCAUUACCAAAUGUCAUUCAAAUGAUGCAGAGCCUUGUGAUAUAAUAUCCUACAAUGUACCUAAGUUGUCAAAGUCAUAAUUUGAUCUUUUAUUAUCCUGACCUCUAGGGUGCAAUUUUUUUUUUUUUUAUUUUUUUUUACUGAGAGAAUAAUUAUAUAAUCAUGUUAGAACACAUAUCUGAUACAAGGACCUUCAGUUUCUUUGCUCCUUUUUCUUGUAUAUAGGGUUACAUAUAUACAUAUGUACAUAUUUACAUGGGCCUAAAAUUCUGGAUAGGUGCUAGGUAUUCCAAGCAUUUUUGGACAUAAUAUUAGUGAAAUAAGGAAAAUAAGUGCACAGACAAGCAACUCACAAUUCAACUGUUACUGAAUGUUUUAAGGAAGUUUUUUUAAUUUUUUGGGGGUUUUUUUUUGGUUCUUUUGAUGCUUCAUUUUUGUAUGUAAUACUAUGAAAAUGGUGAGAAUCUUUGCUGCUGAAACUACCUUGGUUGUAUACAAAUAAAACCUAGAAAAUUUAUCAAAUGUCUAUGUUUUCCAUACCAAAGGCUCAACUAGGUAUUAAAUAUAUUUAUAUUGAUUGAAAUGUAUAGAAAUAUUUUUAAAUUAUAUAAUAUUGAAUGUAAUAUUUUAUUAGAAUAUAUCUAAUACAAAAAAGGUUUCCUUUGAAUAUACCAUAUGUUUAUACCUGUCGAUGUCCAUGUCCUCAAAAAUCUUGUUUAUUGUAAUAAAAAGCGUAUUAUAAUGUAA
This is a non-coding RNA of Taeniopygia guttata (zebra finch), 7693 nucleotides long. The record is from RefSeq and is a predicted model, not a curated record. NCBI's taxonomy places the organism in Eukaryota, Metazoa, Chordata, Aves, Passeriformes, Estrildidae.